Molecule: ribosomal RNA, 253 nt
Filed under: uncultured bacterium
Lineage: Bacteria
Description: partial 16S ribosomal RNA
Rfam family: Bacterial small subunit ribosomal RNA
Source: RNAcentral
UACGUAGGGUGCGAGCGUUGUCCGGAAUUAUUGGGCGUAAAGAGCUCGUAGGCGGUUUGUUGCGUCGGCUGUGAAAUCCCGAGGCUCAACCUCGGGUCUGCAGUCGAUACGAGCAAACUAGAGUGUUGCAGGGGAGACUGGAAUUCCUGGUGUAGCGGUGAAAUGCGCAGAUAUCAGGAGGAACACCGAUGGCGAAGGCAGCUCGCUGGGACGGUACUGACGCUGAGGCGCGAAAGCGUGGGGAGCAAACAGG